UGUGGAUGCCUGUGUUAACUACAUAAUUGU
This 30-nucleotide non-coding RNA is filed under the name Mus musculus (house mouse). Lineage: Eukaryota; Metazoa; Chordata; Mammalia; Rodentia; Muridae. The record is from RNAcentral.